This 179-nucleotide ribosomal RNA is filed under the name Ruellia brevifolia. RNAcentral describes it as "5.8S ribosomal RNA". The stretch from base 9 to 164 matches the Rfam family "5.8S ribosomal RNA". From Rfam's summary of the family: 5.8S ribosomal RNA (5.8S rRNA) is a component of the large subunit of the eukaryotic ribosome. It is transcribed by RNA polymerase I as part of the 45S precursor that also contains 18S and 28S rRNA. Functionally, it is thought that 5.8S rRNA may be involved in ribosome translocation. Lineage: Eukaryota; Viridiplantae; Streptophyta; Magnoliopsida; Lamiales; Acanthaceae. The record is from RNAcentral.
GUCAAAACGACUCUCGGCAACGGAUAUCUCGGCUCUCGCAUCGAUGAAGAACGUAGCGAAAUGCGAUACUUGGUGUGAAUUGCAGAAUCCCGUGAACCAUCGAGUCUUUGAACGCAAGUUGCGCCCGAAGCCUUCGGGCCGAGGGCACGCCUGCCUGGGCGUCACGCAUCGCGUCGCCC